This 482-nucleotide ribosomal RNA is filed under the name Serratia sp. 26(2010). Its description in RNAcentral is "bacterial SSU rRNA". It matches the Rfam family "Bacterial small subunit ribosomal RNA", at positions 77 to 555 of the family's 1533-position model. Lineage: Bacteria; Pseudomonadati; Pseudomonadota; Gammaproteobacteria; Enterobacterales; Yersiniaceae. The record is from RNAcentral.
UGCUCUCUGGGUGACGAGCGGCGGACGGGUGAGUAAUGUCUGGGAAACUGCCUGAUGGAGGGGGAUAACUACUGGAAACGGUAGCUAAUACCGCAUAACGUCUUCGGACCAAAGUGGGGGACCUUCGGGCCUCACGCCAUCAGAUGUGCCCAGAUGGGAUUAGCUAGUAGGUGGGGUAAUGGCUCACCUAGGCGACGAUCCCUAGCUGGUCUGAGAGGAUGACCAGCCACACUGGAACUGAGACACGGUCCAGACUCCUACGGGAGGCAGCAGUGGGGAAUAUUGCACAAUGGGCGCAAGCCUGAUGCAGCCAUGCCGCGUGUGUGAAGAAGGCCUUCGGGUUGUAAAGCACUUUCAGCGAGGAGGAGGGGUGGUGUGUUAAUAGCACAUCAUAUUGACGUAUCUCGCAAAAGAAGCACCGACUAACUCCGUGCCAGCAGCAGGGGUAAUACGGAGGGGGGCACUCGUUAUUCAAAAUUACU